RNA transcript from Salvia splendens (bonfire salvia), 2602 nucleotides. It is a transcript of the gene named kinesin-like protein KIN-UA, with no coding region annotated. The record is from RefSeq and is a predicted model, not a curated record. The transcript is spliced from 2 exons. Lineage: Eukaryota; Viridiplantae; Streptophyta; Magnoliopsida; Lamiales; Lamiaceae.
CUGGGAGGUAAUCUGUGACGAUCACGGCUUCAACUGCGGCGACUCAAGGUGGCGGAGAAUUGUGACUGAUUGCAAGGUUGCUUCUCGACUAUCGCCGCUCUGGAUUCGGCGACAACAGCUGUAAUUCUCCGCUUUCUAGAAAUCUGCAGACCGCUGAAGAGUUCAUCAUCGGUGGCGGCCAAAAUUGCUGCUCAGAGAGCUUAAGCCCCAUCCCCUGACUGCGGAGAUAAUUUUAUUGCAUUUUGAUGAUCUUUUCUAGAUAUUCAUAUUCAUGUUUAUUAUUUGUCGCAUGUUCCAAAUUAAUGAGUGAUCACUUGGUACUAGUUAUGAGUUAGCAAAUCUAAGACUUCUAAGCUUCAUUAUGUUUUUAGACGUGACAAAACUACUUGAGAAAUACAGUAUAUACUUUUUGAUUAAGCAAAAUCUGAUUCAUGUAUGCUACUUGGGCGGUUUCAGGAAGAGUCCGAGUUUGUCGUAGUAUAGGUACAUGUGGAACAAGUCUGUAGUGGAAAGGGAUGAAUUUUCUUUUGACUACAGGAGUUUGGUCUAGAGACUUGAGAUGGAAAUUGAUAAAUUUAUGGCCGAGAAUGAAAAGACAGCAAAAGUUGUAUGAAAAUUAGGUUGAGAGAAUCAGAUUAGAAGCACAGGAACGUGUCGCUGAGGCUGAAAGGAAUUAUGUGGAAUCCUUAGAGGUAUACAUAUGCCUUAAUAUGCCUAUGAAAUUCCUGAAUAUCUUCUUGCAUUUAGAAUACUGUUUAGAAUUUACAGAGAAAUAAUGCAGUCUAGUUAUGCAUUGGUAAAUGCAGUUUCAGCCUUAAUCACUGUUUUCAUUUUGAAUCCCCUAAAAUACCAUAAAAAAAUUCUCGAAGCUACUUGAUCUUUUUAGUUUUGUGGCCUUUAUCAACCUUUUGUAUUAGGAGGAGAAAACCAAAUGUCAGAUGGAUGAUAUGGAGUCAAUUGAGAAGCUUGAGAAGUGGACUAUCGACCAACAAAAGCAUGCUAUUAAUGCAGUGGUAGUUUGGGUUUGCAACCAUCAUUUCCUGUAGUUGUGAUAGCUUGAUCCUCUCAUUUUUUAAAUGGCAAUAAAAUUGAUGAAUCAAAGCAGAUCUGAAAUAAGAUGAGAAUACCUUUUCUUUGUUGCCACUUGCCACUUUCUCAAAGUUUAAGUGAGGAUUUGAAUUACUCUCAUGCAGAUUAACAUUGGUGCUGGUAAUGAGGAGGUUGUGGAGCUAAAACGGCUGCUCAAAGAUGAAGUUUGUCUACGAAAAGCAACUGAAGAUGAAAUUCACAACUUAAGUAAUCAGCUAUUUAGAUUUUCAAAGAUGGAGUAGGCAGGUGGAAACUCUGAUGGCUCUAGCCUUCAGCAAGAAGAAGUGAGAUAUUUACGGAGUGAACUGGCACAAAUAUCUAUUGAAGCUAAUCUAGUAUGUUUCGUAUUGACAAAUGACUAGUGUUUUUAGUGGUUAAAAGCAUCUUACUGUGACAGGUAAUUUUUUCCCUUGCAUACUUCUAUUUUAAAGUUAUCCCGUCGGUGUCUGCUCUGAUUGUCCUAAGCUCUGAAGCGAAAGGCUUCUAGCUAAAAUUUUACAUUGUAUUUUGUGAAAACGAAUACUUAAGUGGUCUAUUCUGUUUUUAAUAGGUGGAAUUUGGUGAUAAAGUUGAUUCAGUAUGGGAAUGCUUAGUGUGUUAUUCAUUUUCAAAAUUUAGUACAUAACUCAUUUGUACAUCUUCUUGAAAAAAAGAAGCCAUUCUUAGGCUGCACUUUUCAACUUCCCCAUGGGAAUCAUUUCUUAGACUGCACUUCUAUCCAUUGGUAGUUGAUGGAUAUAAUGUGAAUGAGUCUUUCUUUUCUAUUGAGGCCAAUGAUUUGAGGUUGGUUUCCCGAGUUCAAUGUUCCCGGUGAGAUUGCAUAUAAUAAGAUGAACUUGUUUGGAUCUGCAGAAGACAACUCCACUGAUUCCUAUUUGUUGAAGGAGUAUUUCUUGUUUGUGGUGUCGAAUUUGGUGGUUGUGAGCUUCGAUCCAUCCAAUGGUCGUUUGGUUUUGUUAAUGCUAUUGAGGGUUGCUGAGGUGGGGAGUGGUCUGUUUGAUGAUUCUGUGAGAAGAGUUGGGGGUGGCCGUGGCGGGUUGGAGUUGAGAAAACAAGGGAUGGAGGCGGUGUAUAGGUUGAAUGUUGGUGGUUCGUCUAUUAGGCUUUGGAGGGCUUGAGAGAUGGAUUCAGGCUGCAUGAUCAAUGCAGACACUGGCACUGUGCCUAACACCAAGGCUAAUGUAACCUGUGCCAAUCCGAACGACACUGCUGUGGCUCCUCUACUAUAAUCGCUAUCCUUCAGGGGUUCAGUACUGCUAAUGGUAAAGGGUCAUCAACGAGCUAUCAGAGCACGAACCAGCCAAAUGGCACCGUUAGGUCCAGGAGGAGUUUCACGUUAGCUGGGAGAUUAGACAAAUAAAAUUAUCCUACCCGAUCAUGCUUGAGCAUAUUGUGACUCAAAAGAUCGAACCCGGUCAAUCGACACCUCUUUUUUUUAGUUUAAUCUUCAAAGUAAGACUCACAAAGGAUGAUUGAAAACAUAGAAAUUCGAAAUUAAGUUUUUAUUCCAACA